GUGCAUAUGAUGGAAAAUGUUUAAUCUGAGACUUGUGAUGUCUUCAAAGGAACCACUGAUGCAC
This is a small nucleolar RNA of Artibeus jamaicensis (Jamaican fruit-eating bat), 64 nucleotides long. RefSeq annotates it as small nucleolar RNA SNORD42. Lineage: Eukaryota; Metazoa; Chordata; Mammalia; Chiroptera; Phyllostomidae. The transcript has a single exon. The record is from RefSeq and is a predicted model, not a curated record.